This is a small RNA of Herbaspirillum seropedicae SmR1, 69 nucleotides long. It matches the Rfam family "Betaproteobacteria toxic small RNA". Rfam says of the family: Overexpression in amino aid rich medium attenuates growth, suggesting role in repressing amino acid intake and metabolism. Lineage: Bacteria; Pseudomonadati; Pseudomonadota; Betaproteobacteria; Burkholderiales; Oxalobacteraceae. The record is from Rfam.
UGUCUCCUCCAAUCUCCUCCUUAAGAAAUUGGAUUCAAGCCCGCACCUCUUGGUCGCGGGCUUUUUUUU